UAAUACGGGGGGAGCGAGCGUUGUCCGGAAUCAUUGGGCGUAAAGGGCGCGUAGGCGGAACUGUCAGUCAGAUGUGAAAUGUCCCGGCUUAACCGGGAAGUUGCAUUUGAAACAGCAGUUCUAGAGUUUCGUAGGGGAUGAUGGAAUUCCUGGUGUAGCGGUGAAAUGCGUAGAUAUCAGGAAGAACACCGGUGGCGAAGGCGGUCAUCUGGGCGAAUACUGACGCUGAUGCGCGAAAGCGUGGGUAGCAAACAGGAUUAGAUACCCUGGUAGUCCACGCCGUAAACGUUGGGCACUAGACGUUGUAUCCGAUCGGAUGCAGUGUCGCAGCUAACGCAUUAAGUGCCCCGCCUGGGGAGUACGAUCGCAAGGUUG
Molecule: ribosomal RNA, 375 nt
Filed under: uncultured Deferribacteres bacterium
Lineage: Bacteria; Pseudomonadati; Deferribacterota; Deferribacteres
Description: bacterial SSU rRNA
Rfam family: Bacterial small subunit ribosomal RNA
Source: RNAcentral